GUCCUCCUGAGGUGUUUGCCAGCUAAGAAGUCCCUGAGCCGAUAAUUAUUAUCCGGCUUCUUUCUGCCAACAUUGUUGUGCAAUUCCGUGCGUCGGAAAGCCUGAUAUGUUGCGAAAGUCGCCAACUUGAACUCUUCGGUUCAAGGCCACAUUGGCAGCGGCACCCUGGGGUCUUA
Non-coding RNA from SAR92 bacterium BACL26 MAG-121220-bin70, 176 nucleotides. Lineage: Bacteria; Pseudomonadati; Pseudomonadota; Gammaproteobacteria; Cellvibrionales; Porticoccaceae. The record is from Rfam.